GACGAACGCUGGCGGCGUGCUUAACACAUGCAAGUCGAACGGAAAGGCCCUGCUUUUGUGGGGUGCUCGAGUGGCGAACGGGUGAGUAACACGUGAGUAACCUGCCCUUGACUUUGGGAUAACUUCAGGAAACUUGGGCUAAUACCGGAUAGGAGCUCCUGCUGCAUGGUGGGGGUUGGAAAGUUUCGGCGGUUGGGGAUGGACUCGCGGCGUAUCAGCUUGUUGGUGGGGUAGUGGCUUACCGAGGCUUUGACGGGUAGCCGGCCUGAGAGGGUGACCGGCCACAUUGGGACUGAGAUACGGCACAGACUCCUACGGGAGGCAGCAGUGGGGAAUAUUGCACAAUGGGCGGAAGCCUGAUGCAGCAACGCCGCGUGCGGGGUGACGGCCUUCGGGUUGUAAACCGCUUUCGCCUGUGACGAAGCGUGAGUGACGGUAAUGGGUAAAGAAGCACCGGCUAACUACGUG
Molecule: ribosomal RNA, 468 nt
Filed under: uncultured bacterium
Lineage: Bacteria
Description: partial 16S ribosomal RNA
Rfam family: Bacterial small subunit ribosomal RNA
Source: RNAcentral